Molecule: non-coding RNA, 46 nt
Organism: Dipodomys ordii (Ord's kangaroo rat)
Lineage: Eukaryota; Metazoa; Chordata; Mammalia; Rodentia; Heteromyidae
Source: Rfam
CCAAAGGCUCUUUUCAGAGCCACUUCUGUUCUCAGUAAAAGGCUGU